RNAcentral lists this ribosomal RNA (579 nucleotides) under uncultured bacterium. Its description in RNAcentral is "bacterial SSU rRNA". It matches the Rfam family "Bacterial small subunit ribosomal RNA", at positions 240 to 835 of the family's 1533-position model. The record is from RNAcentral.
AUCAGGUAGUUGGUAAGGUAACGGCUUACCAAGCCUAUGACGGGUAGCCGGUUUGAGAUGAUGAUCGGCCGCGAUGGGACUGAGACUCGGCCCAUACUCCUACGGGAGGCAGCAGUGGGGAAUAUUGCACAAUGGACGAAAGUCUGAUGCAGCGAUUCUGCGUGGAGGAUGAAGCAUUACGGUGUGUAAACUCCUUUUCUGGUAGAAGACGAAUGACGGUAUACCAGGAAUAAGGGACGGCUAACUAUGUGCCAGCAGCCGCGGUAAUACAUAGGUCCCAAGCGUUAUCCGGAUUUACUGGGCGUAAAGAGUCUGUAGCCUGAUAUGUAAGUCUGUUUUCAAAUACUCCGACUCAAUCGGAGAAAGGGGAUAGAUACUGCAUAUCUGGAAGUUAUUGGGGGUUAGUGGAAUUUCCGGUGGAGCGGUGAAAUGCGUUGAUAUCGGAAAGAACGCCGAAAGUGAAAACAGCUAACUACAAUAAACUUGACGGUCAGAGACGAAAGCUUGGGGAGCAAACGGGAUUAGAUACCCCGGUAGUCCAAGCUGUAAAUUAUUCUUUCUAGAUGUUUUGGACCCUUC